AAGUCGUAACAAGGUUUCCGUAGGUGAACCUGCGGAAGGAUCAUUAUUGAAUUUUGAAGAGGGGUUGUAGCUGAUCUUUUAGAUAUGUGCACACCUCUUUAUCUACACACCCAUGUGCACCUUUUGUAGGCUUUUUUGCCUAUGUUUUUAUACACACACACAUUUUGUACAAGAAUGUUAUUGAUGAAAUUUAAUACAACUUUCAACAACGGAUCUCUUGGCUCUCGCAUCGAUGAAGAACGCAGCGAAAUGCGAUAAGUAAUGUGAAUUGCAGAAUUCAGUGAAUCAUCGAAUCUUUGAACGCACCUUGCGCUCCUUGGUAUUCCGAGGAGCAUGCCUGUUUGAGUGUCAUUAAAUUAUCAACCUCUUCAAGAGGCUUGGAUUUGGAGUGUUGCUGGCAUAUUUUGUUGGCUCCUCUUAAAUGUAUUAAAGCUUGUAGGCUUUGGUUUGAUAAUAUCUAUGCCAUCGCUGUAAUGCAAAACCACCUUGAAAUUUGACCUCAAAUCAGGUAGGACUACCCGCUGAACUUAAGCAUAUCAAUAAGCGGAGGAAAAGAAACUAACAAGGAUUCCCCUAGUAACUGCGAGUGAAGCGGGAAAAGCUCAAAUUUAAAAUCUGGCAGUCUUAUGGCUGUCCGAGUUGUAAUCUAGAGAAGUGCUUUCCGCGUUGGACCGUGUACAAGUCUCUUGGAACAGAGCGUCGUAGAGGGUGAGAAUCCCGUCUUUGACACGGACUACCAGUGCUUAUGUGAUGCGCUCUCGAAGAGUCGAGUUGUUUGGGAAUGCAGCUCAAAAUGGGUGGUAGAUUCCAUCUAAAGCUAAAUAUUGGCGAGAGACCGAUAGCGAACAAGUACCGUGAGGGAAAGAUGAAAAGAACUUUGGAAAGAGAGUUAAACAGUACGUGAAAUUGUUGAAAGGGAAACGCUUGAAGUCAGUCACGUUGGCCAGAAAUCAACCCUCAUGGGUGUACUUUCUGGUUUUACGGGUCAGCAUCAAUUUUGAUUGUUGGAUAAAAGUCAAUAUUUAUGCAUUUUCGGAUGUAUAGCCUUUGGUUGCAUACAACAGUUGGGAUUGAGGAACUCAGCAUGCCGCAAGGCCGGGUCUUUGUGAUCACGUACAUGCUUAGGAUGCUGGCAUAAUGGCUUUAAUCGACCCGUCUUGAAACACGGACC
Molecule: ribosomal RNA, 1171 nt
Filed under: uncultured fungus
Lineage: Eukaryota; Fungi
Description: eukaryotic LSU rRNA
Rfam family: Eukaryotic large subunit ribosomal RNA (bases 495-1171)
Source: RNAcentral